This 595-nucleotide small RNA is filed under the name Pan troglodytes (chimpanzee). Its description in RNAcentral is "processed transcript". The record is from RNAcentral. Lineage: Eukaryota; Metazoa; Chordata; Mammalia; Primates; Hominidae.
CUGGAAUGCUCGGACCCGGGAACCUGUCACAGACAAUGUAGAGAAAUUUGCCAUUGAGACAGAACUCAUCUAUAAGUACUCUCCAUUCCGCACUGAGGAGGAAGUGAUGACCCAGUUUAUGAAGAUUCCUGGGGACAGUGGAACAUUGGUGAUCAUCUUCAAUCUCAAACUCAUGGAUAAUGGAGAGCCAGAACUAGACAUAAUCUCAAAUCCAAGAGAUAUCCAGAUGGCAGAGACGUCCCCAGAGGGCACGAAGCCAGAGCGGCGCUCAUUCCGUGCCUAUGCCGCUGUGCUCUAUAUUGAUCCCCGGAUGAGGAUCUUCAUCCAUGGGCACAAGGUGCAGACCAAGAGGCUCUCCUGCUGCCUGUACAAGCCCAGGAUGUACAAGUACACGUCAAGCCGUUUCAAGACCCGUGCGGAGCAGGAGGUGAAGAAAGCAGAGCACGUAGCAAGGAUUGCUGAGUUCUGUGGAAAAAGAUUACCCUGACACCUGGGUUUGCUCCAUGAACCCUGAUCCUGAACAGGACCGGUGUGAGGCUUCUGAACAAAAGCAGAAGGUUCCCCUGGGAACAUUCAGAAAGGACAUGAAGACGCA